This 1274-nucleotide long non-coding RNA is filed under the name Junco hyemalis (dark-eyed junco). Its description in RNAcentral is "lncRNA (ENSJHYG00000000260.1)". Lineage: Eukaryota; Metazoa; Chordata; Aves; Passeriformes; Passerellidae. The record is from RNAcentral.
UUUUUUGGGUGUGGUUUUUUUUGCGAUUUCACCGAUUUUUUUGCAAUUUUCUUUGGGAUUUUUAUAAAUUUCCAAAAUCUCAUUUUUUCCCCUUUCUUCCCCAGGUUUUUUGCUAAUUUCUGUAAAUUAUUUUGAGAUUUUAGGGCUGUUUUUGGGGAAUUAUUUCUGAUUUUUUGGGUGGUUUUUUUUGCGAUUUCACCAUUUUUUUGCGAUUUUCUUUGGGGAUUUUUCUAAAUUUCCAGAAUCUCACUUUUAUUUCGGUUUCCCCCAGGUUUCCUCGGGUCUGCAGAGCAGCAGCCCUGCCCGCAAAAUCCUUGGGGAUUUUCCCUUCUCCCGGAUUUUUUAGGGAAUUUUUUUGGAUUUUUUUGUGAAUUUUUAUGAUUUUUUGUUUCAUUUUUGGGCUUUUUUGCCCUGAAUUUUUGGGGGAUUAUUUUGGGAAUUUAGGGACAAUUUUUGGGUUAUUUCUUUGAAUUUCUUUUGUAAUGAUUUGGGGUUUAUUUUGCUGAUUUCUGUAAAUUCUUUGGGAUUUUAGGGCUGUUUUUGGGAAUUAUUUCUGAUUUUUUGGGUGUGGUUUUUUUGCGAUUUCACCGAUUUUUUUGCGAUUUUUUGGGAUUUUUCUAAAUUUCCAGAAUCUCACUUGGAUUUGGGUUUCCCCCAGGUCUCCUCGGGCCUGCAGAGCAGCAGCCUCCUGACGGCGCUGCCGGGGCCCUUCCUGGAUCGGCUCCUGGCGCCGGCGCUGCUGCCGCAGCCGCAGCUGCAAAUCUUCGUCCUCCUCAUCCUCGGCAGCUUCCUCGACCGCCGCCGCCUCCAGCCCCGCCUGCGCCCCGCCAGGUCAGAGAAAAUCCUAAAAUGUUCCAAAAAAAAUCCAAAUUUUAGUGCUUGGGAUGGGAAAUUUUGCUGGGAUUUUUGGGUUUUUUUUCAGAUUUUUUUUAGAAUUUUUUCAGAAUUUUUCAGGAUUUUUCAUAGUUUUUUCAUGAUUUUUACAGAAUUUUUUCAGAAUUUUUUCAGAAUUUUUACAGAAUUUUUUCAGAUUUUUUUCAGGAUUUUUAAGGAUUUUUUUCCUAUUUUUUUCAUAUUUUUCUGAUUUUUUUUACAAUAUUUUACAGAUAUAUUCAGAUUUUUUACACAAUUUUUUCAGAAUUUUUUCUGAUUUUUUUCUGAAUUUUUUCAUAUUUUUUCAGAAUUUUUACACAACUCUUUCAGAAAUUUUCAGAAUUUUUUCAUGUUUUUUUCAGAUUUUUUACAGAAUUUUUUUCAGAUUUUUUUCAGAAUUU